UAUUAUUCCAAGAUAAUUUUUUUCUGAGGUUAGUAAUAGAUAUUUACUUAAAAGCUAAAAAAUUUGGCGGUAAUUUAAUCUUUCCAGAGGAACUUGUUUUUUAAUCGAUAAACCGCGAAUUAUCUUACUUACUUUAAUAGAAGUUUGUAUACCGUCAUUAUCAGGUAAUUUUAAAAAAAUAAAUUUCUUAGUUUGAAAGUUUAUAAAAAUUAGAUCAUGGUGCAGCUUAUAGGUAAGUUAAAAUGAGUUACAAUAAAUUGUUUUACACGAAUAAUUAAAAGAAUUUUUAAUUUGAAGGAGGAUUUGGUAGUAUUCUAAGUUUAGUAUGCUUAGUAGAUGUCAGCCCUAAAUUAUGUACAUAU
Molecule: ribosomal RNA, 362 nt
Filed under: Pinnixa floridana
Lineage: Eukaryota; Metazoa; Arthropoda; Malacostraca; Decapoda; Pinnotheridae
Description: partial 12S ribosomal RNA
Source: RNAcentral